GAUGAACGCUGGCGGCGUGCCUAAUACAUGCAAGUCGAGCGAACAGACGCGGAGUUUGCUCCUCUCACGUUUGCGGCGGACGGGUGUGUAACACGUGGAUACCCCACUUAUAUUACUGGUAAAACUUCGGAACACGGGCGAAUAUAGCGGAUAAUAUAUUGAUGCGUGGGGUGGGAUAGUGAAUUACGGCUUUGCGGUCUCUAAUCGAUGGUUCUGCGCCGCAUUAUGGAGUGGGUGAGGUCACGGGUUUUCAAGGGAACGAGGCGUAGGCGACCUGAGCGGUGGGUCAGCCCCACUGGAACUGAGACACGGUCCAGACGCCUACGGGAGGCACCAGUAGGCAAUCGGCCGCAAUGGGCGGAAGCCUGACGGAGCAACGCCGCGUGAGUGAUGAAGGUCUUCGGAUCGGAAAACUCUGUUAUUAGGGAAGAACAAAUGUGUAAGUAACUAUGCACGUCUUGACGGUACCUAAUUAGAAAGCCACGGCUAACUACGUG
This 497-nucleotide ribosomal RNA is filed under the name uncultured bacterium. Its description in RNAcentral is "partial 16S ribosomal RNA". It matches the Rfam family "Bacterial small subunit ribosomal RNA", at positions 28 to 507 of the family's 1533-position model. The record is from RNAcentral.